This 212-nucleotide ribosomal RNA is filed under the name Orbiliaceae sp. Its description in RNAcentral is "partial large subunit ribosomal RNA". The record is from RNAcentral. Lineage: Eukaryota; Fungi; Ascomycota; Orbiliomycetes; Orbiliales; Orbiliaceae.
AAGCGCUUGCAAUCAGACUUGCUGCGGUUGAUCAACGUUCCUUCUGGUUCGUGCACUCUGCCGUUUGCAGGCCAGCAUCGGUUCGGACGGUGGGACAAAGGUCGCGGGAAUGUGGCUCUCUUCGGGGAGUGUUAUAGCCCGCUUCGUCAUGCCACCUGACCGGACCGAGGACCGCGCUUUUGCUAGGAUGCUGGCUUAAUGAUUGUAAGCGA